UGCAGUCGACGAUGAACUGGAGCUUGCUCCAGGGAUUAGUGGCGAACGGGUGAGUAACACGUGAGUAACCUGCCCUUGACUCUGGGAUAAGCGCUAGAAAUGGCGUCUAAUACCGGAUACGAGCUUCAGCCGCAUGGCUAGGAGUUGGAAAGAAUUUUGGUCAAGGAUGGACUCGCGGCCUAUCAGCUAGUUGGUGAGGUAAUGGCUCACCAAGGCGACGACGGGUAGCCGGCCUGAGAGGGUGACCGGCCACACUGGGACUGAGACACGGCCCAGACUCCUACGGGAGGCAGCAGUGGGGAAUAUUGCACAAUGGGCGAAAGCCUGAUGCAGCAACGCCGCGUGAGGGAUGACGGCCUUCGGGUUGUAAACCUCUUUUAGUAGGGAAGAAGCGAAAGUGACGGUACCUGCAGAAAAAGCACCGGCUAACUACGUGCCAGCAGCCGCGGUAAUACGUAGGGUGCAAGCGUUGUCCGGAAUUAUUGGGCGUAAAGAGCUCGUAGGCGGUUUGUCGCGUCUGCUGUGAAAUCUGGGGGCUCAACCCCCAGCCUGCAGUGGGUACGGGCAGACUAGAGUGCGGUAGGGGAGAUUGGAAUUCCUGGUGUAGCGGUGGAAUGCGCAGAUAUCAGGAGGAACACCGAUGGCGAAGGCAGAUCUCUGGGCCGUAACUGACGCUGAGGAGCGAAAGCAUGGGGAGCGAACAGGAUUAGAUACCCUGGUAGUCCAUGCCGUAAACGUUGGGAACUAGAUGUGGGGGCCAUUCCACGGUCUCCGUGUCGCAGCUAACGCAUUAAGUUCCCCGCCUGGGGAGUACGGCCGCAAGGCUAAAACUCAAAGGAAUUGACGGGGGCCCGCACAAGCGGCGGAGCAUGCGGAUUAAUUCGAUGCAACGCGAAGAACCUUACCAAGGCUUGACAUAUACCGGAAACGUCCAGAGAUGGUCGCCCCGCAAGGUCGGUAUACAGGUGGUGCAUGGUUGUCGUCAGCUCGUGUCGUGAGAUGUUGGGGUUAAGU
This 1014-nucleotide ribosomal RNA is filed under the name Frigoribacterium sp. RNAcentral's name for it is "bacterial SSU rRNA". It matches the Rfam family "Bacterial small subunit ribosomal RNA", at positions 56 to 1085 of the family's 1533-position model. Lineage: Bacteria; Bacillati; Actinomycetota; Actinomycetes; Micrococcales; Microbacteriaceae. The record is from RNAcentral.